Molecule: small nuclear RNA, 107 nt
Organism: Prolemur simus (greater bamboo lemur)
Lineage: Eukaryota; Metazoa; Chordata; Mammalia; Primates; Lemuridae
Source: Ensembl
GUGCUCACUUUGGGAGCACAUAUACUAAAAUUGGAAUGAUACAGAGAAGAUUAGCAUGGCUCCUGUGCAAGGAUGACAUGCAAAUUCGUGAAGUAUUGUGUAUUUUG